Molecule: transfer RNA, 85 nt
Filed under: subsurface metagenome
Description: tRNA-Leu
Rfam family: tRNA
About the family: Transfer RNA (tRNA) molecules are approximately 80 nucleotides in length. Their secondary structure includes four short double-helical elements and three loops (D, anti-codon, and T loops). Further hydrogen bonds mediate the characteristic L-shaped molecular structure. tRNAs have two regions of fundamental functional importance: the anti-codon, which is responsible for specific mRNA codon recognition, and the 3' end, to which the tRNAs corresponding amino acid is attached (by aminoacyl-tRNA synthetases). tRNAs cope with the degeneracy of the genetic code in two manners: having more than one tRNA (with a specific anti-codon) for a particular amino acid; and 'wobble' base-pairing, i.e. permitting non-standard base-pairing at the 3rd anti-codon position.
Source: RNAcentral
GCCGAAGUGGUGAAAUUGGCAAACACGCACGGUUCAGGGCCGUGUGGGCGAAAGCCCUUGGGGGUUCAAAUCCCCCCUUCGGCAC